UACGUAGGGUGCGAGCGUUGUCCGGAAUUAUUGGGCGUAAAGAGCUCGUAGGCGGUCUGUCGCGUCGGUCGUGAAAACUUGGGGCUUAACCCUGAGCUUGCGGUCGAUACGGGCAUGACUGGAGUUCGGUAGGGGAGACUGGAAUUCCUGGUGUAGCGGUGGAAUGCGCAGAUAUCAGGAGGAACACCGGUGGCGAAGGCGGGUCUCUGGGCAGUAACUGACGCUGAGGAGCGAAAGCGUGGGGAGCGAACAGG
RNAcentral lists this ribosomal RNA (254 nucleotides) under uncultured bacterium. RNAcentral describes it as "partial 16S ribosomal RNA". It matches the Rfam family "Bacterial small subunit ribosomal RNA", at positions 524 to 776 of the family's 1533-position model. The record is from RNAcentral.